ACGACCAUAUCAUAUUGAAACAUCGGUUCCCGUACGAUCACCCAAGUUAAGCAACGUUGAGCAGCACUGCCUAGAUGGGUGACCGCUUGGAGAUACCAGGUGCUGUAAG
Non-coding RNA from Acanthosepion pharaonis, 109 nucleotides. The record is from the annotation of a GenBank genome assembly. NCBI's taxonomy places the organism in Eukaryota, Metazoa, Mollusca, Cephalopoda, Sepiida, Sepiidae.